RNAcentral lists this long non-coding RNA (525 nucleotides) under Mytilus galloprovincialis (Mediterranean mussel). Lineage: Eukaryota; Metazoa; Mollusca; Bivalvia; Mytilida; Mytilidae. The record is from RNAcentral.
UUUUCUUACAUCAUUAUAUCUAUUACAUAAUAUACAGACUAUUAGUAUCUGCAUACUGGUAAUAUGCAUCACAUAUAUUUCUGUUUUUUAUGUUUCAAGCAUAUCAUCAAAUACAUUUACAGGAAGUCUUAGCUAUCUUAUGUAUUGUGUAUCUUGUGCGAGAGAUAAUUGAAUGCUUGUGUUUAAGGCAUGUCACUUGGUAAAUAUAAACAAUAUUUAGGAUUUAAAUGCUUCUUUUGAUAGUGGGGUGUAAAAACGUGUCACACGUUCAAUGCUUUCACAAACCUAUCGACUUACUAAAAGAAGCUUCCAAUAUUUAUAAGAAUUAUAGUAUAUUUUGCGCUAGGAUCAUGAAUUCUAUCAAGGUUAUAUUUUAUUUACCUGUGUAAUUUAUUGUCGGAGAUCGUUUCAUCCUGUCAUCAUGAAUUUCUCAUUUCAUUUUGAAAUUUUGAAAUGAAAGUUAAUUCCAGAAUGACGCGAUAAUUAUUAAAUAUUAUAUAAAAAAUAUGAAAGUGCUUUGUCCUC